This 922-nucleotide ribosomal RNA is filed under the name Psychrobacter sp. 27F07n-MB1-7. Its description in RNAcentral is "bacterial SSU rRNA". It matches the Rfam family "Bacterial small subunit ribosomal RNA", at positions 524 to 1445 of the family's 1533-position model. The record is from RNAcentral. Lineage: Bacteria; Pseudomonadati; Pseudomonadota; Gammaproteobacteria; Moraxellales; Moraxellaceae.
UACAGAGGGUGCAAGCGUUAAUCGGAAUUACUGGGCGUAAAGGGAGCGUAGGUGGCUCUAUAAGUCAGAUGUGAAAUCCCCGGGCUUAACCUGGGAACUGCAUCUGAAACUGUAGAGCUAGAGUAUGUGAGAGGAAGGUAGAAUUCCAGGUGUAGCGGUGAAAUGCGUAGAGAUCUGGAGGAAUACCGAUGGCGAAGGCAGCCUUCUGGCAUAAUACUGACACUGAGGCUCGAAAGCGUGGGUAGCAAACAGGAUUAGAUACCCUGGUAGUCCACGCCGUAAACGAUGUCUACUAGUCGUUGGGUCCCUUGAGGACUUAGUGACGCAGCUAACGCAAUAAGUAGACCGCCUGGGGAGUACGGCCGCAAGGUUAAAACUCAAAUGAAUUGACGGGGGCCCGCACAAGCGGUGGAGCAUGUGGUUUAAUUCGAUGCAACGCGAAGAACCUUACCUGGUCUUGACAUAUCUAGAAUCCUGCAGAGAUGCGGGAGUGCCUUCGGGAAUUAGAAUACAGGUGCUGCAUGGCUGUCGUCAGCUCGUGUCGUGAGAUGUUGGGUUAAGUCCCGCAACGAGCGCAACCCUUGUCCUUAGUUACCAGCGGGUUAAGCCGGGAACUCUAAGGAUACUGCCAGUGACAAACUGGAGGAAGGCGGGGACGACGUCAAGUCAUCAUGGCCCUUACGACCAGGGCUACACACGUGCUACAAUGGUAGGUACAGAGGGCAGCUACACAGCGAUGUGAUGCGAAUCUCAAAAAGCCUAUCGUAGUCCAGAUUGGAGUCUGCAACUCGACUCCAUGAAGUAGGAAUCGCUAGUAAUCGCGGAUCAGAAUGCCGCGGUGAAUACGUUCCCGGGCCUUGUACACACCGCCCGUCACACCAUGGGAGUUGAUUGCACCAGAAGUGGAUAGCUUAACCUUCGG